GGGUGCGUUCAUACCAGCGUUUGUGCACCGGAUCCCAUUAGAACUACGCAGUUAAGCGCGCUUGGGCUGGAGUAGUACUGGGAUGGGUGAACUCCCGGGAAGUCCCGGUGUCGCACCCUC
This 120-nucleotide ribosomal RNA is filed under the name Pseudotaxus chienii. The record is from RNAcentral. Lineage: Eukaryota; Viridiplantae; Streptophyta; Pinopsida; Cupressales; Taxaceae.